ACCUGACUGUCUCAGUUGGUAGAGCAUGCGACUUUUGAUCUCAAGGAUGUGAGUUCAAGCCUCAUGUUGGGUG
Transfer RNA from Felis catus (domestic cat), 73 nucleotides. It matches the Rfam family "tRNA". From Rfam's summary of the family: Transfer RNA (tRNA) molecules are approximately 80 nucleotides in length. Lineage: Eukaryota; Metazoa; Chordata; Mammalia; Carnivora; Felidae. The record is from Rfam.